Molecule: ribosomal RNA, 1959 nt
Filed under: human gut metagenome
Description: bacterial LSU rRNA
Rfam family: Bacterial large subunit ribosomal RNA
Source: RNAcentral
UCAAGCUAAUAAGAGCACAGGGUGGAUGCCCAGGCACCAAACGCCGAUGAAAGACGUGGCAAGCUGCGAAAAGUCACGGGGAACCGCAAGCAGGUAUUGAUCCGUGAACGUCUGAAUGGGGAAACCCGGCGGGUUAACAGCCCGUCACUAUUAACUGAAUCAAUAGGUUAAUAGGGGGAACGCGGGGAACUGAAACAUCUCAGUACCCGUAGGAAGAGAAAAUAAAGAAUGAUUUCCUAAGUAGCGGCGAGCGAACGGGAAAGAGGCCAAACCGAAGGGCUUGCUCUUCGGGGUUGUGGAUCAGCAAAAAGGACGGAAGACCUUAGCAGAAGAGGAUUGGAAAGUCCCGCCAGAGAGGGUAAAAGCCCCUUACGCGAAAAGGUCAAACGACGAGCUGACACCAGAGUACCGCAGGACACGAGAAAUCCGGUGGGAAGCCGGGAGGACCACCUCCCAAGCCUAAAUACGAAUUGGUGACCGAUAGCGCAUAGUACCGUGAGGGAAAGGUGAAAAGAACCCCGGGAGGGGAGUGAAAAAGAACCUGAAACCCUGUGUUUACAAGCAGUGAAAGUGCAAGUUAGGCACGAUCACGUACUUUUUGUAGAACGGACCGGCGAGUUACGUUAUGCAGCAAGGUUAAGAACUGAAGGUUCGGAGCCGAAGCGAAAGCGAGUCUGAAUAGGGCGAUAGUUGCAUGACGUAGACCCGAAACCGGGUGACCUAUCCAUGAGCAGGUUGAAGUGGAGGUAAAGCUCCAUGGAGGACCGAACCAGACGUCUGUUGAAAAAGGCGGGGAUGACUUGUGGAUAGGGGAGAAAUUCCAAUCGAACCCGGAGAUAGCUGGUUCUCCUCGAAAUAGCUUUAGGGCUAGCCUCAUGGAUCAUUGAUGGGGGUAGAGCACUGAAUGUGCGCGGGGGCCACAAAGCCUACCAAACGCUAUCAAACUUCGAAUACCAUACAAUGCAGACCAUGGGAGUCAGUCCGCGAGAGAUAAGUUCCGCGGGCAAAAGGGGAACACCCCAGAUCAACCGCUAAGGUCCCCAAGUUCACGUUAAGUGGAGAAGGAUGUGGAAUUGCACAGACAACCAGGAUGUUGGCUCAGAAGCAGCCACACAUUUAAAGAGUGCGUAAUAGCUCACUGGUCGAGUGAUUGUGCGCCGAAGAUGUCCGGGGCUAAACGUGACACCGAAGCGAUGGGUGCAUCUGAAAGGAUGCGCGGUAGAGGAGCAAUGUGCAGAGGCAGAAGCCGUAUCGAGAGGCACGGUGGACACUGCACAAGAGAGAAUGCCGGUAUGAGUAGCGAGAGGCAUGCGAGAAACAUGCCCGUCGAAAGCCCAAGGUUUCCUGGGGAAGGUUCAUCCGCCCAGGGUAAGUCGGGGCCUAAGCCGAGGACGGAAGUCGUAGGCGAUGGACAGCAGGUGUAGAUUCCUGCACUACCGAUGGAAUGAAGCAGUGACACAGAAGGAUAACUCGAGCAGGGUGAUGGUCAACCCUGUGCAAGCAUCAAGGUUGGGUUGUAGUGAAGUACGCAAUCCUACAAGCUGAGGUGUGAUGCGGACCGAAAUUUCAGUAGGGAAGCGAGUGAGUUCACGCUGGCGAGAAAAGCUGCUAGUACAUCCAAAGGUACCCGUACCGGAAACCGACGCAGGUGGGCGAGGAGAGAAUCCUGAGACGAACGGGAGAACCCUUGUUAAGGAACUCGGCAAAAUGACCCCGUAACUUCGGGAUAAGGGGUGCCUGCGAGAGCAGGCCGCAGAGAAUAGUCACAAGCGACUGUUUAGCAAAAACACAGGUAUCUGCGAAAGCGAGAGCUGACGUAUAGGUGCUGACACCUGCCCGGUGCUGGAAGGUUAAGGGAACAUGUUAGAGCAAUCGAAGCAUCGAACCGAAGCCCCAGUAAACGGCGGCCGUAACUAUAACGGUCCUAAGGUAGCGAAAUUCCUUGUCGGGUAAGUUCCG